Molecule: long non-coding RNA, 1924 nt
Filed under: Sus scrofa (pig)
Lineage: Eukaryota; Metazoa; Chordata; Mammalia; Artiodactyla; Suidae
Description: lncRNA (ENSSSCG00050006090.1)
Source: RNAcentral
CUUCCUGCUAGUCUGACGCUGGCGGUCUGUGAUCCGCAGCUAGAGCCUCCUUAUUCUGCAGCCUGGAUGUUGCCACACCUGCAACAUAUGGAAGUUCCUGGGACAAGGAUUGAAUCCUAGCUGCAGCUGCGACCCAUGCUUCAUCUGCAGCAACACUGGAUCCUUUAACUCACUGCACCUGGCAGGGAAUCAAAACCACGCCAGUGACCCAAACUGCUGUAGUUGGAUUCUUAACCCACUGCACCACAGCGGAAACCCUGUGUUUGUUUGUUUGUUUAUUUUGCUGCACCCACAGUAUACAGAAUUCCCUGGGCCAGGAAUCGAACCUGUGCCACAGCUGGAACCAGAGCCACAGCAGUGACAAUGCUGGAUCCUUAACCCACUGAGCCAUGAGGUAACUCCUAGACCCUUAUUUUAUUUAUUUAUUUAUUUUUUUUCUGAAGAAAGCUUGGAAAGCUUUUAUUGUUUUAGUGUCCCAGCCACUAUAUGAUCUUGCAGGAGUCAUAUGGAUUUUUUUCUCUCUUUUUUUCUUUCUGGUUUUUUUUGUUUUUCUUUUCUUUUUUUUUCCUCACCUGCAGCAUGCGGAAGUUCCCAGGGCCAGGGAGCCAACCUGCGCCACAGCAGCAACCCAAGCCACUGCAGUGACAACACCAGAUCUUGAACCCACUGUGCCACAGGAGAACUCCAUGUUAUUUGAAAUUGAAUGGAUUAGAGAGCACGUCUAAACAGAAGUCUCGGAAUAACAAUAAAGAGACCCUUAUUUUAUUUAUUUUAUUCUUCUUUCUUUUUUUUUUUGGUGUUUUUUUUUUGUUGUUUGUUUGUUUUUGUUGUUUUUUUUUGCCAUUUCUUGGGCCGCUCCUGCGGCCCAUGGAGGUUCCCAGGCUAGGGGUCGAAUCAGAGAUGUGGCAGCAACGCGGGAUCCGAGCGGCAUCUGCGACCCACACCUCACGGCUACGCCAGAUCCUGAACCCACUGAGCGAGGGCAGGGAUUGAACCCUCAACCUCAUGGUUCCUAGUCGGAUUCGUUAACCACUGUGCCACAACGGGAACUCCAAGAGACCCUUAUUUUAAAUGACAAUGGUCAUAGAAAAACAGUAUGCUUGAAACUGUCCUCAGAAGCAGUGUCUUCUUCAGUGGCUGGUAUCUUAGUGCCUGAUACUGGGAGGAGUUGGCAAGUCAAAGGGCAAAACGAGGGCAGGUGGAAGAGGCCAAGCGGCGGCCCCUCUGUGGCAUCCAGAAAGGAACAAAAUACUCCCGUUUCCCAGAAGUCCUUUCUUUUUUUUUUUUUCCUCUAUCUUUUUUUGAGUCUUUAGGUUACCAGACAGCAAGACAUUAACAGAAUUAUAGAAAUAAAUUCAUUCCAACAAACAAUUUUGAGUCCCUUUUAAGGGCCACACCGGUGCAUGAGGAGGCAGGAAGAAAACCACAGUCUCUGCCCUCAAGGAGGUCAGGCCUACUCAGCCAUAAGAAAAGACAAAUAAUGCCAUUUGCAACAGCAUGGAUGGAACUAGAGACUCUCAUACUAAGUGAAGUUAGUCAAAAAGACAAAGACAAAUACCGUAUGAUAUCACGUGUCUGGACUCUCAUAUAUGGCACAAACAAACCUUUCCCCAGAAAAGAAACUCAUGGACUUGGAGAACAGACUUGUGGUUGCCAAGGGGGAGGGGGAGGGAAUGGGAUGGACUGGGAAGCUGGGGUCAGUAGAGGCAAACUAUUGCCUUUGGAAUAGAUAAGCAAUGAGAUCCUGCUAUAUAGCACAGGGAACUAUCUUUAGUCACUUAUAAUGGCACUUAAUGGAGGAUAAUACGAGAAAGAGAAUGUAUACAUGUAUGUGUGACUGGGUCAAUUUGCUGUAAUGUACAGUAGAAAAUUGACAAAACACUGUAAACAAACUAUAAUGGAAAAAAUAAAAAUCUUUUAAAAA